RNAcentral lists this ribosomal RNA (252 nucleotides) under uncultured bacterium. Its description in RNAcentral is "partial 16S ribosomal RNA". It matches the Rfam family "Bacterial small subunit ribosomal RNA", at positions 524 to 776 of the family's 1533-position model. The record is from RNAcentral.
UACGGAGGAUGCGAGCGUUAUCCGGAUUUAUUGGGUUUAAAGGGUGCGUAGGCGGUCCGGAAAGUCAGCGGUAAAAGCCCGGGGCUCAACCCCGGCGAGCCGUUGAAACUGUCGGACUAGAGACGGCGAGAAGUAUGCGGAAUGCGCGGUGUAGCGGUGAAAUGCAUAGAUAUCGCGCAGAACUCCGAUUGCGAAGGCAGCGUACCGGCGCCGGACUGACGCUGAGGCACGAAAGCGUGGGUAUCGAACAGG